UACGGAGGGUGCAAGCGUUGUUCGGAAUCACUGGGCGUAAAGGGCGCGCAGGCGGCCUGAUUAGUCAGAUGUGAAAGCCCACGGCUUAACUGUGGAAGUGCAUUUGAGACUGUCAGGCUUGAGUACCAGAGGGGAAAGUGGAAUUCCCGGUGUAGAGGUGAAAUUCGUAGAUAUCGGGAGGAAUACCGGUGGCGAAGGCGACUUUCUGGCUGGAUACUGACGCUGAGGCGCGAAAGCGUGGGGAGCAAACAGGAUUAGAUA
This 261-nucleotide ribosomal RNA is filed under the name uncultured prokaryote. RNAcentral's name for it is "partial 16S ribosomal RNA". It matches the Rfam family "Bacterial small subunit ribosomal RNA", at positions 524 to 784 of the family's 1533-position model. The record is from RNAcentral.